CCUACGGGUGGCAGCAGUGAGGAAUAUUGGUCAAUGGACGCGAGUCUGAACCAGCCAAGUCGCGUGCAGGAUGACUGCCCUAUGAGUUGUAAACUUCUUUUAUAAAGGAAUAAAGUCAGACACGUGUGUCUUUUUGUAUGUACUUUAUGAAUAAGGAUCGGCUAACUCCGUGCCAGCAGCCGCGGUAAUACGGAGGAUCCGAGCGUUAUCCGGAUUUAUUGGGUUUAAAGGGAGCGUAGGUGGUUUGUUAAGUCAGUUGUGAAAGUUUGCGGCUCAACCGUAAAAUUGCAAUUGAUACUGGUAGGCUUGAGUACAGUUGAGGUAGGCGGAAUUCGUGGUGUAGCGGUGAAAUGCUUAGAGAUCACGAAGAACUCCGAUUGCGAAGGCAGCCUACUAAACUGCUACUGACGUUGAUGCUCGAAAGCGUGGGUAUCAAACAGGAUUAGAUACCCUGGUAGUC
RNAcentral lists this ribosomal RNA (460 nucleotides) under uncultured bacterium. RNAcentral describes it as "partial 16S ribosomal RNA". It matches the Rfam family "Bacterial small subunit ribosomal RNA", at positions 338 to 795 of the family's 1533-position model. The record is from RNAcentral.